GUAACUAUGAAACACAACAAUGUGUAAAAACUAACUAGCAAGAGCUUCAUGUUGACUUUUGACAUAAGCUGCCACAUAAUAGGUAUAAGGAAUAGGGAAAAGACAUCUGACAGACAGGUCUAUGUCAGACUGUCUCACAUCACACUGUCCUCUCUGACCGGAUGGGCUCACCUUAGAGGUCGCUUAAACCUGCCUGUCUGGGAAUGUGCGUAUGCCUGUGUGAGCAGUAAAGACAUCUUCAGGACUGACAACUUUCGAAAACUGUCAAUCUGACAUUCACACUUGCUUCACGCAGCAAUCGUCCAGGUAUAGAAGACUCUGUCAAAUGGAUUGACACAUAUUCAGACAAUCAGCUCUUCAACCUCUUCCAAGUGUGGCCAUUUAAAACAGCCAUAAACUCCUUCGACUUUCAACAUGGUGGAAAAACAUGUUGUACAAGAGUUAAAUCUGGGGCAGGUCAACAAUCCCUCCUCGGCUAAAUACCUGGAUCCAGUCAGAAUACCGGACAGUAGAACUGAAGAAGCCUCUUGGAUGAGAUGUGAACAUCUUCAUGAAUCAACCAAGUCCAGUUGCCCCAGAUUUAACUUGUUAGAUAAGAAAGAUGAUGUCGAUAACUGAUAACGUUCACACACGUCAUACGAGCUCUUUCUUUUUGAUCAUACCCCUGGCCUAAUGCUACAGUUAGAUUACAACCAGACUAACUGGUUGAAACAUGACCAAAUGACCUCACAGAGGAGAAUUGGACAUGAGUAUUUCACUAACGUGGCACAGUAUAAAUCGUACAACACUUGAGCCUUUCGGCUAGUGAGCAUGUCCUGACUAAUACAGAUUUUUACAGCUACCCAAUACUCAUAUGGACACAGAACAUGUCUCCCACUCCCCUACACACACCCACACACACACAAGAAACGAAACAGGAAGAAGACAGAGAAGAUGGGAUACUGGGAGGAGGGUAUAAGAGCUCAUGCUCAUUACAAUCAAUUAGGGUCAAGUUGAGAGCAGAGAGGUGGUGGUGAGAGGGGAGGAAGGACGAGGACUAGGGGGUGGCAUCCUAGCAAAUGUGGAAAGAGGGCCAAUUAAAGUGAAAGGAAGGGGAAAUAUGAAUGAUUUAGUGCUUAAACACACAUGGGGACACACACAUAUCUAUGCAAACCAUACAUCUAUCGAAUGUAAUGUCAAGCUUAGUGUAAUCCUACAUGAGUAACUAAAGGAUGUGUAAGUAGACUACAUGAAAGGACCUCUCAGCCCCCCUACAUUAACACUUUGAACUCUGCAGCCCUCGUGCCACAUAUUCACUUCUGUUUGACUC
Molecule: long non-coding RNA, 1309 nt
Organism: Larimichthys crocea (large yellow croaker)
Lineage: Eukaryota; Metazoa; Chordata; Actinopteri; Sciaenidae
Exons: 3
Source: RefSeq, a predicted model, not a curated record